UCUGUUGGUCCACGGCUCUAAGAGGAGAGGGGGAGAGAGACAGAAGGGGGGGAGGUAGAGAGAGACUACGUGUGAACACAGGAGGUUGCCAGUUUUUAACCCAGACUCACAUCUACGAGAAAGUGGUUGGUACUGCUUGAGUUCAGUUGAUCUGAGCAUCAGACCAUCUGAUUGUUCAUAUCCCCCUGUUCUGAAGCUGCUCUACUUUAGUGAGGAUGGAGAAUGCGCAUGCCAAAGAGUCACAGGAGGUUCUGUCCUAUUUCUCUGUCACUGAGGACACGGGUCUCUCACCUGACCAGGUUAAGAAGAACCUGGACAAGUAUGGCUACAAUGAGCUGCCAGCAGAGGAGGGAAAAAGCAUCUGGGAGUUGGUUGUGGAACAGUUUGAGGACCUGUUGGUCAGAAUCCUGCUACUAGCAGCCUGCAUCUCUUUUGU
Long non-coding RNA from Thalassophryne amazonica, 436 nucleotides. RefSeq lists it as uncharacterized. The transcript is spliced from 3 exons. Lineage: Eukaryota; Metazoa; Chordata; Actinopteri; Batrachoidiformes; Batrachoididae. The record is from RefSeq and is a predicted model, not a curated record.